Molecule: ribosomal RNA, 300 nt
Filed under: uncultured Lactobacillus sp.
Lineage: Bacteria; Bacillati; Bacillota; Bacilli; Lactobacillales; Lactobacillaceae
Description: bacterial SSU rRNA
Rfam family: Bacterial small subunit ribosomal RNA
Source: RNAcentral
GGCAAGCUACGUGCCAGCAGCGGGGGUAAUAGGUAGGGCCCGUGCGUUGUUCGGAGUUAUUGUGCGGAAAGCGGGCGCAGGUUGUUACAUAAGUCUGAAGUACAAGGCAGUGGCUGAACCAUUGUAUGCUUUGGAAACUGUGUAACUUGAGUGCAGAAGGGGAGAGUGGAAUUCCAUGUGUAGCGGUGAAAUGCGUAGAUAUAUGGAGGAACACCGGUGGCGAAAGCGGCUCUCUGGUCUGUAACUGACACUGAGGCUCGAAAGCGUGGGGAGCAAACAGGAUUAGAUACCCCGGUAGUC